This is a long non-coding RNA of Oncorhynchus tshawytscha (Chinook salmon), 1892 nucleotides long. RefSeq lists it as uncharacterized. Lineage: Eukaryota; Metazoa; Chordata; Actinopteri; Salmoniformes; Salmonidae. The record is from RefSeq and is a predicted model, not a curated record. The transcript is spliced from 2 exons.
AACUCUCUCUCCUGUACCAGUAGUGGGGGGAACUCUCUCCUGUACCAGUAGUGGGGGAACUCUCUCCUGUACCAGUAGUGGAGGGAACUUUCUCUCCUGUACCAGUAGUGGGGGAACUCUCUCCUGUACCAGUAGUGGAGGGAACUCUCUCCUGUACCAGUAGUGGAGGGAACUCUCUCUCCUGUACCAGUAGUGGGGAACUCUCUCUCCUGUACCAGUAGUGGAGGGAACUUUCUCUCCUGUACCAGUAGUGGAGGGAACUCUCUCUCCUUUACCAGUAGUGGGGAACUCUCUCUCCUGUACUAGUAGUGGGGGAACUCUCUCUCCUGUACCAGUAGUGGGGGUACUCUCUCCUGUACCAGUAGUGGGGCUACUCUCUCUCCUGUACCAGUAGUGGGGGUACUCUCUCCUGUACCAGUAGUGGAGGGAACUCUCUCUCCUGUACCAGUAGUGGGGGAACUCUCUCUCCUGUACCAGUAGUGGGGGAACUCUCUCCUGUACCAGUAGUGGGGGAACUCUCUCUCCUGUACCAGUAGUGGGGGAACUCUCUCCUGUACCAGUAGUGGGGGAACUCUCUCUCCUGUACCAGUAGUGGAGGGAACUCUCUCCUGUACCAGUAGUGGGGGUACUCUCUCCUGUACCAGUAGUGGAGGGAACUCUCUCCUGUACCAGUAGUGGAGGGAACUCUCUUCUGUACCAGUAGUGGGGGUACUCUCUCCUGUACCAGUAGUGGAGGGAACUCUCUCUCCUGUACCAGUAGUGGGGGUACUCUCUCCUGUACCAGUAGUGGGGGGAACUCUCUCUCCUGUACCAGUAGUGGAGGGAACUCUCUCCUGUACCAGUAGUGGGGGAACUCUCUCUCCUGUACCAGUAGUGGAGGGAACUCUCUCCUGUACCAGUAGUGGGGGGAACUCUCUCCUGUACUAGUAGUGGGGGGAACUCUCUCUCCUGUACCAGUAGUGGAGGGAACUCUCUCCUGUACCAGUAGUGGGGGGAACUCUCUCCUGUACCAGUAGUGAAGGGAACUCUCUCUCCCCUCCUCUCUCUUCUUCUUUUGUAGAAUGUUAAGGAAUAUAUUUUAAUGUUUUUAUUUAAGGAAGGUGUGCAUACUUUUAAAUGUAUUACUUUCAAUUCAAUUGAUUGUUUUUCUUUUUUUCCUGAAUAGAUAUGCAACACUGAAAGGUUAGAGGACAGCUUUGGCUUAUUGUUUUGACAGUCUGACAUUUUUAUAUCAUUUCAUGUAGGCUAUAUAGUGUUGCCUUGGCCUGUUAUUCUUACAAGCACACUGAUACACACACACACACACACACACACACACACACACACACACACACACACACACACACACACACACACACACACACACACACACACACACACACACACACACACAUGCAUGGGGUACAUGUGGUCUGUGACUACAGUGUGGUUGUGUGUGUGUGUGUGUAUGAGUGUAAGGAAUGUAUAAUGAUAGACCCAACCAGACUCUGGAGACACUAGAUGCGUCCCAAAAAGGAACCCCAGUCACUAUAUAGCUCCCUACGUUUGACCUGGACACAUAGUUCUUCCUAGUGCACUAUGUAGCAAAUAAGGUUCCUUUUAGGGACGUGGACACUAUCUGUGUUAUUUUCCACCAAUGUUAUUGUUUUAAUGAGGAGUCUAUUGUCUUCGUGUUCUUUUCGGAUGAUAAGUCUUCCUUUUGAAUAACCAUCCAUAUCACAUGGGAACACUACAGCUAAUGAUGUCAUCAAGGCCUGACUGCACUAUGGUGAUGAUGUCAUAAUGCUGAGUUCCGUCUCCGUUGGCUGUUCUAAUCUGUUCAUACAGCAUUAGCUUUUUUGUUACUAUACCGAUUCAGUUGUUGACUUCAAAUAAACGUGCAUUUGGGUUAA